AAAGUGAAUAGUGAAACCUGGUGGCUCAACCAUACAGACUAUUAUUCAAACUCACUAACUCGAGAAUGGUAGAGGUAACUGGAAUUUCUUGUGUAGGAGUGAAAUCCGUAGAUAUAAGAAGGAACACCAAUGGCGUAGGCAGUCUACUGGCUCAUUUCUGACACUAAGGCACGAAAGCGUGGGGAGCGAACGGGAUUAGAUACCCCGGUAGUCCACGCCGUAAACGAUGGAUGCUA
RNAcentral lists this ribosomal RNA (236 nucleotides) under uncultured Candidatus Saccharibacteria bacterium. RNAcentral describes it as "partial 16S ribosomal RNA". It matches the Rfam family "Bacterial small subunit ribosomal RNA", at positions 584 to 818 of the family's 1533-position model. The record is from RNAcentral. Lineage: Bacteria; Candidatus Saccharimonadota.